GGCACUGUGGCACAGUGGGCAGCGUUGUUGCCUUGCAGCAAAAAGUUGUGGCUUCGAAUACAGCCUGGGACC
Molecule: non-coding RNA, 72 nt
Organism: Gymnothorax javanicus (giant moray)
Lineage: Eukaryota; Metazoa; Chordata; Actinopteri; Anguilliformes; Muraenidae
Source: the annotation of a GenBank genome assembly